GAUGAACGCUGGCGGCGUGCUUAACACAUGCAAGUCGAACGGAAAGGCCCCUGCUUGCAGGGGUACUCGAGUGGCGAACGGGUGAGUAACACGUGGGUGAUCUGCCCUGCACUUCGGGAUAAGCCUGGGAAACUGGGUCUAAUACCGGAUAGGACGAUGGUUUGGAUGCCAUUGUGGAAAGUUUUUCGGUGUGGGAUGAGCUCGCGGCCUAUCAGCUUGUUGGUGGGGUAAUGGCCUACCAAGGCGUCGACGGGUAGCCGGCCUGAGAGGGUGUACGGCCACAUUGGGACUGAGAUACGGCCCAGACUCCUACGGGAGGCAGCAGUGGGGAAUAUUGCACAAUGGGCGCAAGCCUGAUGCAGCGACGCCGCGUGGGGGAUGACGGCCUUCGGGUUGUAAACUACUUUCGCUAGGGACGAAGCGAAAGUGACGGUACCUGGAGAAGAAGCACCGGCUAACUACGUG
This 465-nucleotide ribosomal RNA is filed under the name uncultured bacterium. Its description in RNAcentral is "partial 16S ribosomal RNA". It matches the Rfam family "Bacterial small subunit ribosomal RNA", at positions 28 to 507 of the family's 1533-position model. The record is from RNAcentral.